CAGCUGAGCCUCAGAAGGUGCCAGAGCCUCUUCCCCAGGAGGGCCAGGAGCAGGACUUGGGGGCCCAUGCUGAGGCCCAGGGACGCACUGUGCCCAUCCGGUAACCUCCUUGGCGUGCUGGGUGGGGGCAGUUCAUGAGGGGACAUCCCAGGGUCAGGGCACAGAGGAGAGACUGCUCUCAGGGUGAGGGGUGGAGCCCUCGCCUCACCCGGGGCUGGGUCCCCUCUUUGUGCAUCCCCUAAAAGUCUGCUGUAGUGCGGGAGGGGGGGCAGAGCUACCCACACUCCAGGGGUGUAGGAGAAGAGCAGACACUCAUCCAGCUCCAUGACCACAGGAUGGAGGGUACAGCCUGGCCGGGAGCAGGAGCAGUGGACCUAUGGGACAUCCACAGCCAGGUGUUCAUGGAGACCACGCAUCGGACAUACGUGUACCAGGCCAGCGACAUGGGUGCCACAAGUAGGCGGGGGCUUAGUGGGUCAUGUCUGUGUGUGCUCCCAGUGCCCUGGACCGGGGGAGGGACGCUUGUGCAGAGGAACCUGAAGAGCCACCUGGCCUGUCCCAGUCUUGCUGGGGCGGGGUAGGUGUGGGGAGCUCUCUGCCCCUGUGUCCCCCCAGGGAGAGGUGAGGGCUGUCACCUGGGAGGGUUGAGGGGCUGAAGGUAGUGAACUGUUUGCUGGGGGCCACCUUCUCCAGCAGGCGUCGACAUGCUCUGCACACCCUGCCCUUGGACAGCUAGGAGAGACAGAGGCUCGUGGGAAGGAGGCACUUCCUGACCAUCAGGGGCCUGGGCAGAGUCAGGAGGGGGGCGCCCCCAUUAGGGAGGCAGGUGGGCUCUUGUUGCCCCAGGGCAUAUCACAAGGCUUGGGGGUAUCAGGACAGGCGUGGGUGGGUGGUCAAUGCUGGCCCACUAUAGGGGCGCAGUCUCUGACUGCAAGGCCCAGCUCCAAGACUCAAUGUGGGCUGAGGACACAGCCUGGACCUCUCUCCAUGGGCUCCCUCCUGCACCCCAGGGCCCCCAUCCAUGCAGGUCACCAUCGAAGACGUGCAGGCACAGAGGGGCAGCACCGCGCAGUUCCAAGCGGUCAUCGAGGGCAACCCGCAGCC
Molecule: long non-coding RNA, 1104 nt
Filed under: Lynx pardinus (Iberian lynx)
Lineage: Eukaryota; Metazoa; Chordata; Mammalia; Carnivora; Felidae
Source: RNAcentral